ACCGUGCUGGCACUCGGCUUCUACGCGACGCCGACCUUCUGGGUCGGCCUGAUGCUGGUGCUGGUGUUCAGCGUAUGGCU
This 80-nucleotide transfer RNA is filed under the name Reyranella soli. Its description in RNAcentral is "tRNA-Arg". The record is from RNAcentral. Lineage: Bacteria; Pseudomonadati; Pseudomonadota; Alphaproteobacteria; Hyphomicrobiales; Reyranellaceae.